Molecule: ribosomal RNA, 465 nt
Filed under: uncultured bacterium
Lineage: Bacteria
Description: partial 16S ribosomal RNA
Rfam family: Bacterial small subunit ribosomal RNA
Source: RNAcentral
GACGAACGCUGGCGGCGUGCUUAACACAUGCAAGUCGAACGGAAAGGCCCUGCUUGCCGGGUACUCGAGUGGCGAACGGGUGAGUAACACGUGGGUGAUCUGCCCUGCACUUCGGGAUAAGCCUGGGAAACUGGGUCUAAUACCGGAUAGGAGCCAUUUUUAGUGUGAUGGUUGGAAAGGUUUUUCGGUGUAGGAUGAGCUCGCGGCCUAUCAGCUUGUUGGUGGGGUAAUGGCCUACCAAGGCGGCGACGGGUAGCCGGCCUGAGAGGGUGGACGGCCACAUUGGGACUGAGAUACGGCCCAGACUCCUACGGGAGGCAGCAGUGGGGAAUAUUGCACAAUGGGCGCAAGCCUGAUGCAGCGACGCCGCGUGGGGGAUGACGGCCUUCGGGUUGUAAACUCCUUUCGCUAGGGACGAAGCUUUUUGUGACGGUACCUAGAUAAGAAGCACCGGCUAACUACGUG